Molecule: non-coding RNA, 799 nt
Organism: Myodes glareolus (Bank vole)
Lineage: Eukaryota; Metazoa; Chordata; Mammalia; Rodentia; Cricetidae
Source: RefSeq, a predicted model, not a curated record
UUAUCAGACCUGGAAAUCGAGGCAGGAGAGGGCAUCAGCAGGGUGUGAAAGGUGAACUUAAGUACCUUAUCUAAGCCACUUAUAGAGCCAAAGCAUAAAAGAGCCUUGAAGAUCCCCAAAUGAAGGUUGCCUUGUCAACCCUACCUGGUAUCUUCUGUACUAGACCUUACCAACCCCAGUGGCUCCUCGCAUCCAUGGUGCUGGGGACAGGCAAUACAGACUGCCAAGACUGCCAGACCCUGGAUUCUCUUUUUGUUUGUUUUUAAAUUUUUCAUGAUGGGGUUUCUCUCUGUAGCCCUAGCUGUCCUGGAACUCACUUUGUAGACCAGUCUGAUCUUGAACUCACAAAGAUCCACCUGCUUCUGCCUCCUGAGUGCUGAGAUUAAAGGCCUGAGUCCCCAGCAUCCUUGGAUUCUUACUGCCACCCACGUCUUUUGAGGACAGUUCGCCUUAUCCUAGAAUCACCUGUUUCUGUUAUAUAAAAGCAUUUGUUAAUAGAGGUAUAAGGCUUGUACAGCUCAAAAGUAAUAGAACUUAACCUUCCCUUUUAGCUAAAAACAGGAGAAACCAGGAGGAAACACGCCAAUGACAGUAAAAUAAAUGCAUUGCCAAGUGUCCACGGGAUGAAGCUGCUGACCUGAGUUUCACUGUGGCCAUCUCCACCCUGUCCAUUAGACAUGUUCAGAAAUGCAAGCAAGCCAUCCAAUAUGCCUAGAAUACAAGAGUGUUAGCAUGAAGGAACUUCUAAAGCAGUCCACUCAGAUCGAGAGUGGGGAUGGAGCCGUGAAUCUUAAAAAGA